AGAGUUUGAUCCUGGCUCAGGACGAACGCUGGCGGCGUGCCUAACACAUGCAAGUCGAACGGAAGUAAAGAUUUCGGUUUUUACUUUAGUGGCGAACGGGUGAGUAACGCGUGAGGAACCUGCCUUUCAGUGGGGGACAACAGUUGGAAACGACUGCUAAUACCGCAUAAUACUACCGGAUGGCAUCAUCUGGUAGUCAAAGCUUUAUGUGCUGAAAGAUGGCCUCGCGUCUGAUUAGAUAGUUGGUGGGGUAACGGCCUACCAAGUCGACUGCAUCAGUAGCCGGACUGAGAGGUUGAACGGCCACAUUGGGACUGAGAUACGCGCCCAGUACUCCUACGGGAGGCAGCAGUGGGGAAUAUUGCGGCAAUGGGGGAAACCCUGACCCAGCAACGCCGCGUGAAGGAAGAACGCCUUCGGGUUGUAAACUUCUUUUAGCGAGAGGACGAACAACGUGACUGGUACCUGCAGAAAAAGCAACGGCUAACUACGUGCCCAGCACGCCGCGGUAAUACGGAGGUCUGCAAGCGUUGUCCGGAUUUGCUGGGUUUAAAGGGUGCGUAGGCGGUUUUAUAAGUUAGAGGUGAAAUUUCGGUGCUCAACACCGACACUGCCUCUAAUACUAUAGGACUAGAGAGUAGUUGCGGUAGGCGGAAUGUGUAGUGUAGCGGUGAAAUGCUUAGAGAUUACACAGAACACCGAUUGAGAAAGCAGCUUACCAAGCUAUAUCUGACGUUGAGGCACGAAAGCGUGGGGAGCAAACAGGAUUAGAUACCAUGGUAGUCCACGCAGUAAACGAUGAUAGCUCGUUGUCAGCGAUACAAUGUUGGUGACUAAGAGAAAUCGAUAAGUUAUCCACCUGGGGAGUACGUUCGCAAGAAUGAAACUCAAAGGAAUUGACGGGGGCCCGCACAAGCAGUGGAUUAUGUGGUUUAAUUCGACGCAACGCGAAGAACCUUACCAGGACUUGACAUCCAACCAACGAAGUAGAGAUACAUUAGGUGCCCUUCGGGGAAAGUUGAGACAGGUGGUGCAUGGUUGUCGUCAGCUCGUGUCGUGAGAUGUUGGGUUAAGUCCCGCAACGAGCGCAACCCCUAUUGUUAGUUGCUACGCAAGAGCACUCUAGCGAGACUGCCGUUGACAAAACGGGGGAAGGCGGGGACGACGUCAAAUCAUCAUGCCCCUUAUGUCCUGGGCUACACACGUAAUACAAUGGCCGUCAACAAAGGGAAGCAAAGCCGCGAGGUGGAGCAAACCCCCAAAAACGGUCUCAGUUCGGAUUGCAGGCUGCAACUCGCCUGCAUGAAGCUGGAAUUGCUAGUAAUCGUGGAUCAGCAUGCCACGGUGAAUACGUUCCCGGGCCUUGCACACACCGCCCGUCA
Molecule: ribosomal RNA, 1382 nt
Filed under: uncultured bacterium
Lineage: Bacteria
Description: bacterial SSU rRNA
Rfam family: Bacterial small subunit ribosomal RNA
Source: RNAcentral